RNAcentral lists this ribosomal RNA (585 nucleotides) under uncultured Trichosporon. Its description in RNAcentral is "partial 18S ribosomal RNA". The stretch from base 193 to 346 matches the Rfam family "5.8S ribosomal RNA". Lineage: Eukaryota; Fungi; Basidiomycota; Tremellomycetes. The record is from RNAcentral.
CUUGGUCAUUUAGAGGAAGUAAAAGUCGUAACAAGGUUUCCGUAGGUGAACCUGCGGAAGGAUCAUUAGUGAUUGCCUUUAUAGGCUUAUAACUAUAUCCACUUACACCUGUGAACUGUUCUACUACUUGACGCAAGUCGAGUAUUUUUACAAACAAUGUGUAAUGAACGUCGUUUUAUUAUAACAAAAUAAAACUUUCAACAACGGAUCUCUUGGCUCUCGCAUCGAUGAAGAACGCAGCGAAUUGCGAUAAGUAAUGUGAAUUGCAGAAUUCAGUGAAUCAUCGAAUCUUUGAACGCAGCUUGCGCUCUCUGGUAUUCCGGAGAGCAUGCCUGUUUCAGUGUCAUGAAAUCUCAACCACUAGGGUUUCCUAAUGGAUUGGAUUUGGGCGUCUGCGAUUUCUGAUCGCUCGCCUUAAAAGAGUUAGCAAGUUUGACAUUAAUGUCUGGUGUAAUAAGUUUCACUGGGUCCAUUGUGUUGAAGCGUGCUUCUAAUCGUCCGCAAGGACAAUUACUUUGACUCUGGCCUGAAAUCAGGUAGGACUACCCGCUGAACUUAAGCAUAUCAAUAAGCGGAGGAAAUCAC